RNAcentral lists this transfer RNA (69 nucleotides) under Anolis chloris. RNAcentral describes it as "tRNA-Tyr". The record is from RNAcentral. Lineage: Eukaryota; Metazoa; Chordata; Lepidosauria; Squamata; Anolidae.
GAUAAAGGAAGGAAUUAAACCCCCUUUAAUAGGACUACAGCCUACCGCCUAUCAUUCGGCCACUUUACC